UACGUAGGGGGCAAGCGUUGUCCGGAUUUAUUGGGCGUAAAGAGCGUGUAGGCGGCUAGGUAGGUCCGUUGUGAAAACUCGAGGCUCAACCUCGAGACGUCGAUGGAAACCAUCUAGCUAGAGUCCGGAAGAGGAGAGUGGAAUUCCUGGUGUAGCGGUGAAAUGCGCAGAUAUCAGGAAGAACAUCAGUGGCGAGGGCGGGUCUCUGGGCCAAUAUUGACGCUGAGGAGCGAAAGCGUGGGGAGCGAACAGG
This 253-nucleotide ribosomal RNA is filed under the name uncultured bacterium. RNAcentral describes it as "partial 16S ribosomal RNA". It matches the Rfam family "Bacterial small subunit ribosomal RNA", at positions 524 to 776 of the family's 1533-position model. The record is from RNAcentral.